AAUAUAUAGUCAUUGGACAAAAAUAAGCUUAUUGCAAAAUCAUCCUAAAUUCCAUGUUCUGCUCCUCACAUGAAAAAAAAAAAAGAAAGAAAAAGAAAAAAGAAAAAAAAAAAAGUGUUUGUUUAAUCUUUAGCUUUGGUUUGCAAAUUAGAAGUCACAAAGAAAACUACAUUUUUUAUUUUGUGUGUGUGUGUGUGUGUGGAACUUACCUGGCAGAGAAGUGCAAGAGUACAUAUCAUAAAUUUUCUUGCUGGAAAUAUGUGGGUGUAAAGGUUAAUGGCAUGCAGCAGCACUCUGAGUUCUGGGAAGAAAGGUCUGAGACUCAGCUCGCUGCAAUUCAGAGCAGCUGUGGGGUGUGAGUGCUGGCAUUCCCUCAACCUGCUUUCACGUCUCAGGGUUUUUAGCUGCUUUGCAAACUCACAGUUUCAGUGAUCGCUGUCCUCAGCUGUCCUUAGCUUUAUGUCUUAUUGACAAAGCAGCUAGGAAGAAACCAGGCUCCCUGUUUCUGUCCGCAGCCGUAUGGCCCAGGUCAGGGCUCAGAAGGCAAAUCGGCUCGGCACUGACAGGAGCAGUAUGCGAAGAGUUCAUCACUCGCUACGUGUUUUCUCCUCUUCCGUUAUUCAGUACUUGAUGUCUAAAAAGCAGUGAGAUGCAACUGACUUUCCUGCUAAUUUCAGACAAAGUAGUGUGUGAAAAGAACUUGUGGUCAUCAUCUGCCCCAUCUUCUGCUUCAAGGAAAACUCUUCUGAUACUAAAUGAGACCAGCAAUGGCUUUGUCUAGGCCAGUCUGGAAAGCCUCUGAAGAUGAAGGUCCCGUUGCCUCUCAGUAGUAACUGCGAGGUAACACAACUAGGAAGAGGAGCUGACCAUUGGCUUUCCUUUUUCACAAGUUUACUGCUUGGUAGGACUGCAAACUUCAAAAGUGAGACUUGAGUAAACUGUCUUUCAAAUCAUGGAGCCAAUUUUGCAGCAGUUAACCUUGUUGAUGCAAAAUAAAUAACGCUGUAGCGUGU
Anas platyrhynchos (mallard) is the source of this 1013-nucleotide long non-coding RNA. RefSeq lists it as uncharacterized. The record is from RefSeq and is a predicted model, not a curated record. NCBI's taxonomy places the organism in Eukaryota, Metazoa, Chordata, Aves, Anseriformes, Anatidae.